UAAUACAUACUGUGCGAACGUUAUUCGGAAUCACUGGGCUUAAAGGGUGCGUAGGCGGCGAUUCAAGUCAGAUGUGAAAUGCCUGAGCUCAACUGAGGCAUUGCGUUUGAAACUGGAUUGCUGGAGUGUCCCAGGGGUGUGCGGAACUGCCAGUGGAGCGGUGAAAUGUGUUGAUAUUGGCAGGAACACCGGAGGCGAAAGCGGCACACUGGGGGAUAACUGACGCUGAGGCACGAAAGCCAGGGGAGCGAACGGG
RNAcentral lists this ribosomal RNA (256 nucleotides) under uncultured bacterium. Its description in RNAcentral is "partial 16S ribosomal RNA". It matches the Rfam family "Bacterial small subunit ribosomal RNA", at positions 521 to 776 of the family's 1533-position model. The record is from RNAcentral.